UGGGGAAUUUUGGACAAUGGGCGAAAGCCUGAUCCAGCAAUGCCGCGUGUGUGAAGAAGGCCUUCGGGUUGUAAAGCACUUUUGUCCGGAAAGAAAUCCUUGGCUCUAAUACAGUCGGGGGAUGACGGUACCGGAAGAAUAAGCACCGGCUAACUACGUGCCAGCAGCCGCGGUAAUACGUAGGGUGCAAGCGUUAAUCGGAAUUACUGGGCGUAAAGCGUGCGCAGGCGGUUUGCUAAGACCGAUGUGAAAUCCCCGGGCUCAACCUGGGAACUGCAUUGGUGACUGGCAGGCUAGAGUAUGGCAGAGGGGGGUAGAAUUCCACGUGUAGCAGUGAAAUGCGUAGAGAUGUGGAGGAAUACCGAUGGCGAAGGCAGCCCCCUGGGCCAAUACUGACGCUCAUGCACGAAAGCGUGGGGGAGCAAAACAGGAUUAGAUACCCUGGUAGUCCACGCCCUAAAACGAUGUCAACUAGUUGUUGGGGAUUCAUUUCCUUAGUAACGUAGCUAACGCGUGAAGUUGACCGCCUGGGGAGUACGGUCGCAAGAUUAAAACUCAAAUGAAUUGACGGGGUCAUAGCUG
Molecule: ribosomal RNA, 582 nt
Filed under: uncultured bacterium
Lineage: Bacteria
Description: partial 16S ribosomal RNA
Rfam family: Bacterial small subunit ribosomal RNA
Source: RNAcentral